Molecule: ribosomal RNA, 122 nt
Filed under: Sinocyclocheilus grahami
Lineage: Eukaryota; Metazoa; Chordata; Actinopteri; Cypriniformes; Cyprinidae
Source: RNAcentral
UCCUGGCCAAAUUGCCGCCACUGGCCCUUGUCAAUCUUGGCCUCGUUGCCCACUGAAGCUAAGCAGGGUUUAGCCUGGUCAGUACCUGGAGACCUCCUGGGAAAACUAGGUUGCUGUUGGAA